Triticum urartu is the source of this 124-nucleotide non-coding RNA. The record is from Rfam. Lineage: Eukaryota; Viridiplantae; Streptophyta; Magnoliopsida; Poales; Poaceae.
AAUAUACUCCCUCUGUUCGAAAUUAUUUAUCGCGGAAAUGGAUGUAUCUGAACGUAUUCAGUUUUAGAUACAUCCAUUUCUAUUCAUUUCGGCGACAAGUAUUUCCGGACGAAGGAAGAAUUUG